GUAUCCACGGCACGACCUGUGGAUUCUGGGGAUCCGAGAAAUGCAAAAUCUAAAAGUGGUUCUGCAGGAAGUUCACCUGGUUUUGGAUCAAAUCCGUCUUUUCUCCCGGCCUCACCCCUCCUAUCGAGAAAGGAAAAGCUUGCUCCCAAUCAGAGGCAUAAAUCAGCCCAGGUGCGCUCCCAGCCUGCCGGCUUGCUUGGAAACGCUGCCAGCCCGCGGCAGAGACUCCACUGUGGGACCAGCCUCUGCGAACGUCUGCUCCAGGGUUAGGGAGCUUCCAGCAAACUCCGGCCAAAUGUUGGCAGACAGCCCACAAGCUCCAGCCAAGUUUGGGGUCUUUUAUAAACUGAAACUGAGAAUUCUGCUGCUUUCUGAGAGGGCUUCCGUUACCGCCCAGGCUGCCUCCCCCGGACACGUGUGCAAACACAGCGUUCUCUUGCACGUGGCAUGUGAGGAUUAUCGCUCCUUUGCUCAUGAAUGGGGCACAGUUUCCAGCGUCAGGGGCCAGGGGCUAUCCAUCCCUGUGGAUUUCCAGCUGAGCCGAAGAACUGGCACGAGGGCCGGGCAGAUGCACCACACACCUGGCCUGGCACACCUGGCCCGGCACGCCCAACUUGCCACCUCGACCAAAGUCCUCUGUGUGUCUGGUUGGCAGCUUGCUCGGCUGGUCCCAGCUUCCCAGGUUGCACCGGGGCUGUGAUCACUCCAGCCCUCCCAACAGCAUCGUGCCAAGGCAGAACCAUGGCGAACAACACAGACCCUGUCUCCUGCACCAUCCCUCAGCAUCCAGUUCAGGACAGAAUCGCCUCCAAUAUUCUCACACGUGUAUUCAGGGGCAUCGCUGUUGUGACGUCCAUAAGCAAACUCAGUAGGAAUCCCUCACUGCUCCCCAAGAGGUGGAUUCACAGGGCCGUCUUUCUGUAGUUACUUUUAAAGCUGUUCCAUCCACUUUUCUUAGAUGUCUGAUUAUGCCCAGGUUCAAGGUGAUGGACUCAUGAUUUAAAAACAAAACAUCUGUCUGCCAGCCUUGUCCUCCUCCUUAAUGCCCUCUAGCUACUCGUGUUGUCUCCAUAAUGUCCCAAAAGGAUUAUUUUCGGCCCCUCUGAAAAGGGAAAAUUGGAAAAAACAGCCGCUUUUAUUGCGGGCAUGUCUAUUUCAGACUUAGAUUUAUAAAUUCAUCUCUGUGGCCUCAUCACUCGUAAAUAGCAUCAGUCCCCCGGCUUUGGAGUCAGGAGGAGCCCCCCACGCAGGAGGAGAGCCCCAACUCACCUCCAGCAUCCACGCUGAGGCCAACCGUCCAGGCUCCUCUGUGGCCUCUGUUACUGGAGGAUUUCAGGCUGUUUUUCACAUAACUUGGGUUUGAUUAAAACCCCAAAUGCAUUUGGCCAACCGCCUUCCCCUCUGAUUUCUUAGCAUAUAUUUAUUUUAAGGGAAAUAUAAGCCGUGCAUCUCUGAUUCACUCAUUGCUUCGUCCACGCUGGCUGGCGGUGGUUGGUGGGUUUCUGGGGCUGCCCGGGGCUGGCCCCAGGUCCUUUAAAGAGACACAACCGCCCAGUCCCUGAAGCCCUCAGGGUCCUCACACACGGGAGGCCAUCCCUCCCGGGAUGCGACUGGACCACACGAGAGAACCUAUAAACGUCCAGCGUGGAUGUGUCUUUCAGAUCUGAACGGGUUGAGAUUUUGUUGUCGUUGUAACUGAGAACCUGUGAUUUUACCAGUGGUUUUAGACUUGGAAAAGGCCAUUUUCUCCACCCUCGACCGACAGAUUGCUCAGGUUUGAUGGACGCAUCCGGAGUAGACCACGCGGCCACACCUCACAAAUCCACCAUCUCCCCGUGGCUUUGUUUUCCAAGCUCAUGGGUUAAGGUUGGUGGAUGAAGAAGAAGAAGAAAGAGGCAAACCUUUUAUUAAAGAUGCUCCCUCUGACCUCCCACAGCUCAGCGAGGUCUUCUCAGGAGAGAAACACAGGGCUCUGAGGCGGGGUCUUGUGUCACCACAGGAGGUGAU
This 2007-nucleotide long non-coding RNA is filed under the name Equus caballus (horse). Its description in RNAcentral is "lncRNA (ENSECAG00000058233.1)". The record is from RNAcentral. Lineage: Eukaryota; Metazoa; Chordata; Mammalia; Perissodactyla; Equidae.